RNAcentral lists this small nuclear RNA (103 nucleotides) under Cricetulus griseus (Chinese hamster). The record is from RNAcentral. Lineage: Eukaryota; Metazoa; Chordata; Mammalia; Rodentia; Cricetidae.
GUACCCAGUUUGACAGCACAUAUAAAAAAAUUGAAAUGACCCAGAGGAGAUUGACAUGGGCCCUGUGCAAGGAUAACAUGCACAUCUGUGAUUUACCAUUGAA